RNAcentral lists this ribosomal RNA (286 nucleotides) under uncultured bacterium. Its description in RNAcentral is "partial 16S ribosomal RNA". It matches the Rfam family "Bacterial small subunit ribosomal RNA", at positions 333 to 633 of the family's 1533-position model. The record is from RNAcentral.
GUAGCCCUACGGGACGCAGCAGUGGGGAAUAUUGCACAAUGGGCGAAAGCCUGAUGCAGCAACGCCGCGUGAAGGAAGAAGGGUUUCGGCUCGUAAACUUCUAUCAACAGGGACGAAAGAAAUGACGGUACCUGAAUAAGAAGCCCCGGCUAACUACGUGCCAGCAGCCGCGGUAAUACGUAGGGGGCAAGCGUUAUCCGGAAUUACUUGGUGUAAAGGGGGAGUAGGCGGCACGGUAAGCCAGAUGUGAAAGCCUUGGGCUUAACCCGCGGAUUGCAUUUGGGAC